CCUGWUCMRGCAUGCCGCGUGAGUGAAGAAGGCCUUCGGGUUGUAAAGCUCUUUUGUCCGGGAGGAAAUCGCCCAUGUGAAUAAUGUGGGUGGAUGACAGUACUGGAAGAAUAAGCACCGGCUAACUACGUGCCAGCAGCCGCGGUAAUACGUAGGGUGCGAGCGUUAAUCGGAAUUACUGGGCGUAAAGGGUGCGCAGGUGGUUUAUCAAGCCAGAUGUGAAAUCCCCGGGCUUAACCUGGGAAUGGCAUUUGGGACUGAUAGACUAGAGUACUGGCAGAGGGGGGUAGAAUUCCACGUGAGCAGUGAAAUGCGAGAGAUGUGAGAAUCCGAUGCGAAGCACCCCCUGGGUUGAUCUGCACUCAACACGAAAGGUGGGUAGCAAACAGGAUUAGAUACCCUGGUAGUCCACGCCCUAAACGAUGUCUACUAGUUGUUGGGAGAUUAACUCUCUUAGUAACGCANCUAACGCGAGAAGUAGACCGCCUGGGGAGUACNGUCGCAAGAUUAAAACUCAAAGGAAUUGACNGG
RNAcentral lists this ribosomal RNA (531 nucleotides) under uncultured beta proteobacterium. RNAcentral's name for it is "bacterial SSU rRNA". It matches the Rfam family "Bacterial small subunit ribosomal RNA", at positions 382 to 917 of the family's 1533-position model. Lineage: Bacteria; Pseudomonadati; Pseudomonadota; Betaproteobacteria. The record is from RNAcentral.